This 490-nucleotide ribosomal RNA is filed under the name uncultured bacterium. RNAcentral's name for it is "bacterial SSU rRNA". It matches the Rfam family "Bacterial small subunit ribosomal RNA", at positions 903 to 1397 of the family's 1533-position model. The record is from RNAcentral.
AAAGGAAUAGACGGGGACCCGCACAAGCGGUGGAUGAUGUGGAUUAAUUCGAUGCAACGCGAAAAACCUUACCUACGCUUGACAUGCCAGAAACCCCGCAGAGAUGUGGGGGUGCCCGAAAGGGAAUCUGGACACAGGUGCUGCAUGGCUGUCGUCAGCUCGUGUCGUGAGAUGUUGGGUUAAGUCCCGCAACGAGCGCAACCCUUGUCCUUAGUUGCUACGCAAGGGCACUCUAAGGAGACUGCCGGUGACAAACCGGAGGAAGGUGGGGAUGACGUCAAGUCCUCAUGGCCCUUAUGUGUAGGGCUUCACACGUCAUACAAUGGUCGGUACAGAGGGUCGCCAACCCGCGAGGGGGAGCCAAUCCCAGAAAGCCGAUCGUAGUCCGGAUUGCACUCUGCAACUCGAGUGCAUGAAGUCGGAAUCGCUAGUAAUCGCGGAUCAGCAUGUCGCGGUGAAUACGUUCCCGGGUCUUGUACACACCGCCCGU